AAGUCGUAACAAGGUCUCCGUUGGUGAACCAGCGGAGGGAUCAUUACUGAGUACUACACUCUCUACCCUUUGUGAACUAUUAUACCUGUUGCUUCGGCGGCGCCCGCAAGGGUGCCCGCCGGUUCUCAUCAGAAUCUCUGUUUUCGAACCCGACGAUACUUCUGAGUGUUCUUAGCGAACUGUCAAAACUUUUAACAACGGAUCUCUUGGCUCCAGCAUCGAUGAAGAACGCAGCGAAACGCGAUAUGUAAUGUGAAUUGCAGAAUUCAGUGAAUCAUCGAAUCUUUGAACGCACAUGGCGCCUUCCAGUAUCCUGGGAGGCAUGCCUGUCCGAGCGUCGUUUCAACCCUCGAGCCCCUGUGGCCCGGCGUUGGGGAUCUGCCACGGCAGGCCCCUAAAACCAGUGGCGGACCCGAAGGGCCCUCUCCUUUGCGCAGUAGCAUUCGCCUCGCAUCGGGAGUCCUCGGCGUCCUGCCUCUAAACCCCCCACAAGCCCGCUUCGGCGGCACCAAGGUUGACCUCGGAUCAGGUAGGAAUACCCGCUGAACUUAA
RNAcentral lists this ribosomal RNA (552 nucleotides) under uncultured fungus. RNAcentral describes it as "eukaryotic LSU rRNA". The stretch from base 187 to 340 matches the Rfam family "5.8S ribosomal RNA". Lineage: Eukaryota; Fungi. The record is from RNAcentral.